UACAGAGGGGGCAAGCGUUGUUCGGAAUUACUGGGCGUAAAGGGCGCGUAGGUGGCCUUCUAAGUUGAACGUGAAAUCCCUGGGCUCAACCCAGGAACUGCGUCCAAGACUGGGAGGCUUGAAUCCGGGAGAGGGAUGCGGAAUUCCAGGUGUAGCGGUGAAAUGCGUAGAGAUCGGGAGGAACAUCAGUGGCGAAGGCGGCCAUCUGGGACAACACUGACGCUGAGGCACGAAAGCGUGGGGAGCAAACAGG
Molecule: ribosomal RNA, 253 nt
Filed under: uncultured bacterium
Lineage: Bacteria
Description: partial 16S ribosomal RNA
Rfam family: Bacterial small subunit ribosomal RNA
Source: RNAcentral